GACCCUACGGGACGCAGCAGUGGGGAAUAUUGCACAAUGGGGGAAACCCUGAUGCAGCGACGCCGCGUGAGUGAAGAAGUAUUUCGGUAUGUAAAGCUCUAUCAGCAGGAACGAGACAAGACGGUACCUGACUAAGAAGCCCCGGCUAACUACGUGCCAGCAGCCGCGGUAGUACGUAGGGGGCAAGCGUUAUCCGGAUUUACUGGGUGUAAAGGGAGCGCAGGCGGCUUUGCAAGUCUGAUGUGAAAGGCCAGGGCUCAACCCUGGGACUGCAUUGGAAACUGUAAAGCUAGAGUGCCGGAGAG
This 305-nucleotide ribosomal RNA is filed under the name uncultured bacterium. RNAcentral describes it as "bacterial SSU rRNA". It matches the Rfam family "Bacterial small subunit ribosomal RNA", at positions 335 to 656 of the family's 1533-position model. The record is from RNAcentral.